RNA transcript from Tachysurus fulvidraco (yellow catfish), 4052 nucleotides. It is a transcript of the gene named Rho GTPase activating protein 4a, with no coding region annotated. The record is from RefSeq and is a predicted model, not a curated record. NCBI's taxonomy places the organism in Eukaryota, Metazoa, Chordata, Actinopteri, Siluriformes, Bagridae. The transcript is spliced from 24 exons.
AGACUUUGUUGUGAAGAACAUUCAUGAGACAGCGAGUGUGUGUCAAAAUGAGUGGGCAGCAACACGAGCAGAGGAGGAACUCAAAAACUGUUCUCUUUCUUCUCAGUGUGUGAGCGAGGUUUAUGAUAGGACACCAGUUCUGCUACUGCUGGUGUGUGUGUGAGAUCUCGAUUGUGUUUGGCCUACAACGAGGAUACAUAUUAAUGCCGGGGAAACAGCAUAGCUUGUUCAAAGGUUUCAUUGGAGGCCAAUGUAAGAGGUGGCGAGAAUAAGUGUUGGAUUUCCAUCUGGUCAGAGAUACGAUGUCGUCCUACAAUGUUAAAUUGAGAAGAGUUGGAAUCGCUGACUAUGACACACAGAUUAAAGAGGUUCGUAAUCAGCUCUCCGAGCAACUCCGUGUGUUUGAUAAUCAUUUGGAGCAGAAAACCCAGAUACUGCAGGAUCUGAGUGAUUAUCUGCGCAGACGUGGUGAGAUUGAGGGCGAGUAUGCGCGCUCCCUGGAUAAACUGGCUGACAGAUUUACCUCAAAGACCAAAAAGAAGGAGUCCAGCAGUGAGUCUGUGUUAAAGUGUUGGCAAGAGUUGUUGACUCAGACACGUCAUGAGAGUAAAGACCACACCACACUGAGUGAGAGUUGUGGCACUGCUUUACCCCAGCAGUUGUCUCGCUGUCUGGAACUCGUUCAACGUUUGGCUAAGAAAAGUAAAGAUAUUAGCAGUCAGUUACAGGACGGACUGCUGAAGGUCACAGCUGAGCUACAGACCACGCUGAAGACGUAUUCCCUGUAUCACACCGAGUAUUUGUCGGCCGAGGGCAAACUAAAAGAAGCCACUAAACAGGAAGAGAAACAAAAACAGAGUGCAGCUAAGAAAAUGGAACGACUCAUGGAAAAAAGGCAGUGUAAAGUACAGGAGACACAGCUGAAAUGCACCAAAGCACGCAAUGACUAUCUGUUCAACCUGGAAGCAGUAAACGUUUCCAUGCACAAAUAUUACCUACAAGAUCUCUCUGCCCUGAUUGAUUUCAGCGAUUUAGGUUUCCAUCAGUCGGUGUGCCAAGUGCUGCAGUAUUACUUGUCCAGCCGCUCACAGGCCCACCAGAACCUGGAUUCUGGAUUGCAUCAGUUGGGAAAUGCAGUUUCUGGACUGGAUCAGAUCCAGGACAGAGACAUGCUGAUACAGGCUCAUGAUGCGGCUUUCUGCAUGCCACUUCGAUUUCAGUACCAGCCUCAUGAGGGAGACCAGGUACUGGUGUGUGAGGUGAGCGCUGAUUUUGACGUGAAGAGUGAGCUUGAUACUCGAUUCCACCAGCUUCAGUCCAGACUCAUCACACUCACUGCAGAAAAUGAAGAGCUGAGUAAAAUGCUGCAACAAUCUCAUGCUGUCCUGCUUGAGAGCAUCAAUGAGGAUAUCUUCAGGUCUGAACACAGCCAAUCGUUAGAGAACAUCAGUGAAGCUUCUGCCAAUAAGAUCAAUCACGCGAGACGUCGAGCCAGUUUGCAAGAGACGGAAAGCUCGUACUCGACGAAAUUUAAGGAACAUCUCAUUAAUGGUUUGCUAAAAUCAAAACUGCAGGCAAAGCAUGACUUACUCAAAGUUGCAAUACAAAAAGCUGGAACAGUGGGUGGGCAGCAUCACAGAAUGCGUUCCCGGAGGUCUGUCCGUCAGAGGAAGUAUCAGCACCCCACUCAGAUCAACCAGAAACCUUUUUCUCGAGACAUGCUCUCAUACAUACAGGCUUCUGGAGAACCAGUUCCUUUGGUGGUAGAGAGCUGCAUCAGAUUCAUCAACCUUCAUGGCCUACACCAUGAGGGCAUCUUCCGAGUCCCUGGCUCUCAGCUGGAGGUCAAUCGGCUCAGAGACUUGUUCGAGAAAGGUGAAGACCCCCUAGAUGAGGAAAUUUGUGACUUGGACUCGGUAGCUGGUGUGCUGAAGCUCUAUUUCAGAGGAAUGGAAAACCCUCUCUUUCCUAAAGACAGCUACGACCAACUGAUGGAGUGUGGACGAAUAGAAGAUGAAUCAGAGAAAGUGGCACAGUUAAAGUCAGUUAUUCUUUCCUACCCUUCUCCACUAGUUGUGGUGAUGCGUUACCUGUUUGCGUUUCUCCACCAUAUUUCCCAGUACAGCGAUGAAAACAUGAUGCAGCCCUACAACCUGGCUGUGUGUUUCGGACCCAGUCUUAUCAGAGGGCCUGGAGAUGCUGAUCCUGUUACUCUCCAGGAAAUCAAUGCUCUUGUCAAAACAAUUAUUAUCCAGCAUGAAAGCAUCUUCCCUUGCCAGAACGUAAUAGAGGGACCUGUAUAUGAGACGUGUAUGACACUAGAGCCAGAUGAUAUUGAUGCUACUACAGAGGAGUCAGAGGUGGAACCAGAUGUGUCUCCAAACAAAGAAGUCAAAGAGGAGCUGGAAGGAGUUGCCUUGUUCGACUACACGGCCCGUUCCCUGGCUGAACUGUCCUUCCAAAAGGGUGGACGUCUCCGUCUUUACAGCAGAGUCUCUUCUGAUUGGUGGAAAGGAGAAAUAGACGGUUCUAAGGGGCUUAUCCCAAAUAAAUACAUUAGUGUACCAAGUAUGGAGGGAGGGCAGGAGCACAAAGAAAGACACAACACUGGAGGCCAGACAGAGGAGCAGUCAGCCGGCUCGACACAAACACGGUACACCUCAAAGAAACAAAGCAUUCACCGACAAACCGGGGCUCAGUUCCAGCCAAGCUCUUGCGGGGAAGCUUUCCUUACAAUUACCCACAGUACAACCACCAAGCACUUCUCCAAGGGCUUUGCGAAAACCUGACCCCUAUAUGAGAAGGACUACACCAGACAGUGAAAGAGAGGAAGUCAAAAUCCUGGUGGACAAGGAGGUCUGUCAUCAGAUGAACUGUGUCUUUAAGGAGAUGGUUGUUCGCCAGCAACAACAAGAUCAAAUCUCGUCAUCUUCUGCCCAACCCUCAACCCUCUCCUAUUCCUCCGUCCCCCCACCAAUCUUUAACAAGAAAGCAAUAAUACAGAGAGGAAAAAGCAAUUCUAAACCAGGUGAACCGAUGAACUGAGAAGUGAGGGGAAUUAAUCCUGACACACACAGAGACUUACAUAAUGUACUAAACUCAAAAAGAGAACUUCAACGUGUGUUCCUGUAAAAACAUGGUAAUCUGUCGUUUUUAUUAGUUCCUCAUAAUAUUUAUUUAUUAAUUCUUUGACGCUUUUCUAUGAUCAUAUUACAUGACUAUACCACUGCUGUAACUUCUUUAUUUAUGAUUGUCUUCAGCCACCUAAUUCGGUUCAAUCAGUUAAAGUGGUAAUUUAUAUUCUUUGCUAUUUAUUCUCCAAAAUGUGCAUAACAGUCUUCAGAAUGGAAUAAAAUAUUAUAAUAUAUAAACCUGUGAGCAUCAUCUUCCAGUGUAAAGUGUCGUAAAAUCCCCACAGCCUAUUUAUACUGUACCUACCGUAUACUUAAAUGUGAAGGUUUAAGCAAAACACUUGAUCCAAAAAUUAUUUACACUGUAUUUUGUGAGGUAAUUAAAAAUAAAUAAAUAUAUAUUUAUAUUUAUUAUAUAUAUAUACUAUUAAAUAAAUAUAAAUAUAUUAAAUAAUAUUUAAUACAAUUUUAUUUAUUUAAUAGUGUUACUGCAUAUUGUAACUGCAUAAUAUUAUUGCAGAAGAAAAUGGUUUAGGAAAUUGGUGUAAAUUGGUGUAGGUAAUGUUAUUAGAUGCUAUUCACAAAAUGAAAAAAUAAAGAAAUAACAAAGCUUCACUAAUGUUCAGUUUGUAAUGUACUGUAUUUUUGAUAUGUAAUAUUAGACCACAUAUGAAAACACAUAGAUAGACACAGGGAUAAUUUUGUGGUGUUUGUGGUGAUAAAAAAUGUAAAAAGGUUGCACAUUGAUAUUUUUCCUAUGGUGGAGGAUUUAAUUAAUGGCCACACGGCUCCCUGAAUGUUCACCUAAGUUUCUUUGUUUUAGACAUACAACAGGAUUCUUUGCCGAACUGUAUUUUUUAUCAUCCACGCUUUGGUAUUAAAUGUGUCAUUGCAUAUUCAGCCUGAAUGAUGCUUCUAUUA